UUCAGAAAAUGCAGGUGCGGGUUGUUGAACCACGGCCAGUGAAAAUUCGCCUAGCUGGCAGCAAUUCCUUGAUUUACCUGCACUGAAUUGAUUUUUCUCUGCAGCACACACUUGAAAACAUCUGCUGAAGAGAAUCUGGGAAAGGCUGAGACUAAAAUAGCUGACAAGCGACCAACAUUUAACCAUGUAAAAAAUGGAUGAAUCAAAAUUUUGUUUGAUUUUCCUCCCCACGGGAGAAAACUGUUCUGGCCCUGACUGUAAAAGAAUGAUUUCCAUUU
Molecule: long non-coding RNA, 278 nt
Organism: Mauremys reevesii (Reeves's turtle)
Lineage: Eukaryota; Metazoa; Chordata; Testudines; Geoemydidae
Exons: 2
Source: RefSeq, a predicted model, not a curated record